Molecule: ribosomal RNA, 253 nt
Filed under: uncultured bacterium
Lineage: Bacteria
Description: partial 16S ribosomal RNA
Rfam family: Bacterial small subunit ribosomal RNA
Source: RNAcentral
UACGUAGGGGGCAAGCGUUGUCCGGAAUUAUUGGGCGUAAAGAGCGUGUAGGCGGCCUGAAAGGUCAGCUGUGAAAACUCGAGGCUCAACCUCGAGACGUCGGUUGAAACCAUCUGGCUAGAGUCCGGAAGAGGAGAGUGGAAUUCCCGGUGUAGCGGUGAAAUGCGCAGAUAUCGGGAAGAACACCCGUGGCGAAGGCGGCUCUCUGGGACGGUACUGACGCUGAGGUGCGAAAGCGUGGGGAGCAAACAGG